AUUGAACGCUGGCGGCAUGCUUUACACAUGCAAGUCGAACGGUAACAGGCCGCAAGGUGCUGACGAGUGGCGAACGGGUGAGUAAUGCAUCGGAACGUGCCCAGUCGUGGGGGAUAACGCAGCGAAAGCUGUGCUAAUACCGCAUACGAUCUAUGGAUGAAAGCGGGGGACCGUAAGGCCUCGCGCGAUUGGAGCGGCCGAUGUCAGAUUAGGUAGUUGGUGGGGUAAAGGCUCACCAAGCCAACGAUCUGUAGCUGGUCUGAGAGGACGACCAGCCACACUGGGACUGAGACACGGCCCAGACUCCUACGGGAGGCAGCAGUGGGGAACUUUGGACAAUGGGCGCAAGCCUGAUCCAGCAAUGCCGCGUGCAGGAAGAAGGCCUUCGGGUUGUAAACUGCUUUUGUACGGAACGAAACGGCGAGCUCUAAUACAGUUUGCUAAUGACGGUACCGUAAGAAUAAGCACCGGCUAACUACGUGCCAGCCGCCGCGGUAA
RNAcentral lists this ribosomal RNA (498 nucleotides) under uncultured bacterium. Its description in RNAcentral is "partial 16S ribosomal RNA". It matches the Rfam family "Bacterial small subunit ribosomal RNA", at positions 30 to 523 of the family's 1533-position model. The record is from RNAcentral.